RNAcentral lists this ribosomal RNA (492 nucleotides) under Atactoglymma sp. 1 MB-2015. RNAcentral describes it as "partial 16S ribosomal RNA". Lineage: Eukaryota; Metazoa; Arthropoda; Insecta; Coleoptera; Curculionidae. The record is from RNAcentral.
UCGAACAGACCUAAAUUUUUUAGCUUCUACACCAAAAUUUUAUUUUAAUCCAACAUCGAGGUCGCAAUCUCUUUUUUCGAUAAGAACUCUCAAAAAAAAUUACGCUGUUAUCCCUAAGGUAAUUUAAUCUUUUAAUCUAAAUAAUAGGAUCAUUUACUCAUAAAUUAAUGUUGAUAUAAAAAAAAAGUUUAUUAAAUUUUUUAAUCACCCCAACUAAAUUAUGAAUUAUAUAAAAAAUAAUGAAUUCUAAUUUUAUUUAUAUAAUUAAUAAUAAAACUCUAUAGGGUCUUCUCGUCUUUUAUUAAUAUUUAAGCUUUUUUACUUAAAAAUAAAGUUUUAAUUAAUUUAAAUAGAGACAGUUAUUUUCUCAUCUAACCUUUCAUUCCAGCUUUCAAUUAAAAAACUAAUGAUUAUGCUACCUUUGCACGGUCAAAUUACCGCGGCCAUUUAAUUACUCAUUGGGCAGGCCAGACUUUAAAUUAUAAACAAAAA